AGAGAUUGCUUUUUCCCUUAACUUGUGGAAUGGACACAUGAAGUUGGAGGUUAUUUUCAAUGGCAACUUUGGACAGUAUUCGUUUUCCUGCUAGAUUGGUGAGCUAUUUUGUUUGAAGUGAAGAAUCGGUUUCAUGGAAGGCCAAUUGGAGUUGAGAGCAAGGUGAAAGAGAUAUUGUAUCGGCUUGAAUUUCUUCUAUUGAAUGCUUGCUUUAUAUUUUUAGUUGAAAGUGAGAUAUUGAGGCAGUACUUCCGUUUAAU
Molecule: long non-coding RNA, 260 nt
Filed under: Gossypium barbadense (sea-island cotton)
Lineage: Eukaryota; Viridiplantae; Streptophyta; Magnoliopsida; Malvales; Malvaceae
Description: long non-coding RNA (GBAR_LNC022561)
Source: RNAcentral